This 22-nucleotide microRNA is filed under the name Callithrix jacchus (white-tufted-ear marmoset). RNAcentral's name for it is "Cja-Mir-208-P1_5p* (star (passenger))". Lineage: Eukaryota; Metazoa; Chordata; Mammalia; Primates; Cebidae. The record is from RNAcentral. RNAcentral also lists the same sequence under 5 other names.
AAGCUUUUUGCUCGAAUUAUGU